GAAUCUCUGGCGUGUUCGCGAUGGCGCCUUAUUUAAUGAGACUCCGCUAUGCCGACCCGCGGGGAUCUGUACCUUGUCGUGGCGUGCAGGCCGGUCACAGCGUAUCGGAAGCCAAAAGCGACAACACGGAGCCCACCUUUUUUAGGACGCGGAGUCGUUAACGUGUUCAAAACGGCACGCCGGAAUUUUU
RNAcentral lists this non-coding RNA (190 nucleotides) under Deltaproteobacteria bacterium. RNAcentral's name for it is "6S RNA". It matches the Rfam family "6S / SsrS RNA". Rfam says of the family: E. coli 6S RNA was the first non coding RNA to be sequenced, but its function was unknown until recently. It consists of 184 nucleotides that fold into an extended hairpin structure with a large single-stranded internal bulge. The record is from RNAcentral. Lineage: Bacteria; Pseudomonadati; Myxococcota; Myxococcia.